CUUCCCAUCUCCUUCCUGGAAGACAGAAGCCUUGUGCGAGCCCCUUGUGUGAUGUCACCCCAGCUAGGGCCACCGGACGUUGGUCCUCAGCAGGGAGACUUUGGGUCCUCCACCAGGACCCAGGGCUGACCUGCAUGGCCAGGCCCCAUGGCCUGGGUAGAACCUUGUUUCUGCUCCAGGAAAAAACGAUCAACGAACCUUCAUUUAAGAAAAAGCACAGCGUUCUCAUGGGAACCAAGAAGACAAGCCCUUAAUGCAAAGUGUAUUCAGAGAGAAGAAAACAAGAAAAGCAGAGACGAUUGGAUUACAGCAAUUGCUCUUAUAACUCCUCUCCGCCCACCCCCUCGAUGAGAAGCUGGUUUGAAGGACUGAGUAUCAAAUCCCUACUGAGCUCUGAGGUUCCAGGUGUGGAUGGAGUGUGGGGCCCAUGUGUGUGUCAGUGUGUGUGGGUGUGAUUGUGUGAGCAACUGGGUGUGUGAGGUUCAGGCCCAGUCGGCUUGUCCAGACGCCAGGCCUGAGAUGCCCUGGGGGUGCUAAGAGGGGUAGAGAGAAGCCAAAGGAACACAGGCUUUG
Molecule: long non-coding RNA, 573 nt
Filed under: Homo sapiens (human)
Lineage: Eukaryota; Metazoa; Chordata; Mammalia; Primates; Hominidae
Description: non-protein coding lnc-DAGLA-3:4
Source: RNAcentral